RNAcentral lists this ribosomal RNA (160 nucleotides) under Liparophyllum violifolium. RNAcentral describes it as "Villarsia violifolia 5.8S ribosomal RNA". It matches the Rfam family "5.8S ribosomal RNA". Rfam says of the family: 5.8S ribosomal RNA (5.8S rRNA) is a component of the large subunit of the eukaryotic ribosome. It is transcribed by RNA polymerase I as part of the 45S precursor that also contains 18S and 28S rRNA. Functionally, it is thought that 5.8S rRNA may be involved in ribosome translocation. The record is from RNAcentral. Lineage: Eukaryota; Viridiplantae; Streptophyta; Magnoliopsida; Asterales; Menyanthaceae.
AAAUGACUCUCGGCAACGGAUAUCUCGGCUCUCGCAUCGAUGAAGAACGUAGCGAAAUGCGAUACUUGGUGUGAAUUGCAGAAUCCCGUGAACCAUCGAGUCUUUGAACGCAAGUUGCGCCCGAAGCCGUUAGGCUGAGGGCACGUCUGCCUGGGCGUCA